GGGCUCCAGCAGGGAGUCUGUGUAGCCCAGGCCCUGUUUUCUCAGUGUCCCCGCCAGGGCUGGUGGCAAAGCCAGGCUGAGACAAGAAGCGGGGGAGCUUGGUGGUGAGCGGGCUGGGGCUGUGGGACACCCCCUAGAGCCGGGCCACGGUGAGGGCUGGCCCACACCCACUGCGGGACGUCCGUCCUCCUGGCCUGGGUCUGCCGGGGUGGCCGUGGCUCUUUCCCCGGGAUGCUCAGCCCGCUGUCCUGUGUCCCCCUCGAGAUCACCUGCCUCGCAAAAGCCGGGAGGUGCCCGUCGGCCUUUCCCACGGCCACUGAGGGUGGAUAAGAAGGAAGGCGGUCUGACACCCGCUUCUCCUGGUGCCUCCCUGGGGUGGCAGGUGCGAUGAAAGCCCAGUGGGCCUGGACGGUAGCUGCUUACAAGGCCGCAGAGAGCUGGACGCCGCCCAGCUGGCCCCCAGCACCUGUGUUUCCUACCUGUGUCCUUCCUUUGUGUUUCCAUCUUGCCCCUCAGGCAGCUCCUCCCUGGGACUCGGGUCUGAGAAGGUCGAUGAUGCAGGAAGGUGAUAAGUCAGCUGGCUGCCAUCGGGGGACCCUGGAGCCACCGAGAACACAGGCAGGCCAGCCGGGCAUGUCUUGUCACCACCCCCUCCUGCCCUCCUUCCUGGCCCUGAGAGGGGUACAGCCACGCAGGAAGCCUGCCCUUGGAGGAAGGGGCUCUGUGAGCAAGGAUCAGGUGUACGUGAGGGAUGGUAGCCGGCUUCUCCGCACUCACGGCUCAGAACACACCGCUGCCCCGGGCCCCGGAGCCAGGUGAGAAAGCCCGCCCAGGCCCCGGUCCCGCCCUGGCCGCCCUGGCUGCGGCAGCCACAGGACAGGCGGUGUCUUUGCUGGUGUCUGUGGGCUGGAGGGGAGGGGCGGCUGCUGGUCCUGCUGAGGGAGAACCUGGGACUGCCUUCCCAGGAGGGGAGUGAAGCGGCAUCGCCUAGGAAGGUGACCUUGCUUGGUGACCUUGUGAGCACUGGCUUCUGAGCCGGAUUCCCGCCCGUGGCUCUGUGUCCAGACAGGCAUGGCUCUUCCAUGCCCAACAGUCCCUGUCUUUGCUACAGCAGGAAAGGAAGCUACAAAAUCCCCCAGGAGGUUCCGUUCUCCGGUUCCCAUGUCUGCCCGGCACCUGCAGGGCCUCCGGUGUCCACUCGGAUCCUCUCAGGAGGGGGCAUCCUCGACCGAGUCCUCUGGACUCAGAUACUGAGUGAACUGAUCUGAGCCCUGUCUUGAAUCAUCAAGGCCACGGCUCCUCCAGGGCAGGCCUGGGCUCCACAUUCCCCCAAACAGGAGAAAGAGGGUGACAGGAAGGUGGGUGUGGGAGACCUAGGGGACACCACCUCUUCCAGAGCCGUCACCUCGUGCUUACAGCUGGCUGCCAUGGGACGCCACGGGCAGGGGGCUGUCUGGAGGCGGGAUCUGUGGAGGAAGCCCCUGUGCGUGGGUGAGGGGAGGGCGCACCGUGCACAAGUGCGGAUCCACCUGCAGGAAGUGCUGUGUCAGGUCCUCAGCUGGGCAACGGGGGGGAGGGUAUCUGCCGGUCCUUUGGCCUCUGCCUCUUUGCUCUGUCUGCCCAGGUGAUGAGAACCCAGUGGGCUCUGCUUGAAUGGAGUCCACUUUCAACUGUUCUUUUGCGAGCAGCUUCUCCUCGGCAUCUUCCCUGAGAUUUGAAUCCACAGAGAGUAGAUUCAGGAAAACAAAACCUCCACACUUUUACCAGCUGGCCAGGAGGGAGGCCACCCCACUCAGAGUCCUGCCUGUCUAGGGGUUGGGCGGGACCAUGGAAAAUAACAGUAACAGCCAUACGUGGGAGCCACGGGCCAGGCACCGAGCAUGGCCUUUCACAACAAGCCUAUGGAACACAGACUGUCUUAUCCCCACUUUAUAGAUGGGAUAACUGAGUCUCCCAGGUAAGAAAUUUGGUCCAGAGCCCACCACCAGCUAGUGGCAGAGAGAGCUGGCUUUGAACCAGGUCCUGUAGGCUCCAGGGCUCAGGUCCUGAGCCCCUUCCAGCCUGGGGGAAGGCAUCCUCAGGAUGCGCUCUGCCCUUGGGUCCACGACAAGAGGCUGGACCAUCCUCACCUCCAACUCCGUCUGUCCUACAGGUCCCUCUAACUCUUGGGCCCAGCUCUGGGGUUCUGCUUCUCGCCCUUGACCUGCAGCUGUGGUGUCCUUCACAUCCCCAGAUUGGUCUCCCCUUUGUCUGUAACCCGUGAAAUCCCAUUUUCUGAUUCUUCCAGGGCCUCCAAGGAUGCGACUGUCAGGACUGGUCCUCCCUCCCCCCACUUCUCCGCCUCCGCCCCUGAAGGAUUCCUGAAUGUUCUCUCCUCUGCGCUUGUCUCCCCGCCGCACAGCAGAGAUAGAGUGGACAUCCGGGUUGUUUCUGUCUUUUGGUGAUUGUGAAUAAUGCUGCUAUGAAGACGCAUGUGCAAAUAUCUUUGCAAGACCCUGCUUUCAUUCCUCAGGUAAAUACCCAGAAGCAGAGUUGCUGGAUAAGAUGGAACUGCCGUCCUGUUUUCCAGUCUUCCCGUCUUUUACCUUAUGUGGAAUCGUUCAGUACGUGUGUGUGUAUGGCUUCUUCCAUGUGACAUUAUAUUCAUGAGAUUCAUCCUGGUUGUCACACGCAGUGGCAGACUGUUUCUUUGCACUGCUUUGUUGUGUGCCAUUGUACAAACACACAACAAUUUAUCCAUUGAAUGGCUCGUGGACACUAGGCUGUCUCCAGUUUGGGGCUGUUACGAAUAGCGCCACCUGCACGUCAUAGCCCGUGCCUGGGGAGACCUGUGCAGAGCUGAUGGGUCCAGGGUAUGCAUGUGCCUUAACUGGAUUUUUUAAAAUAAAUUUAUU
Non-coding RNA from Delphinapterus leucas (beluga whale), 2894 nucleotides. Lineage: Eukaryota; Metazoa; Chordata; Mammalia; Artiodactyla; Monodontidae. The record is from RefSeq and is a predicted model, not a curated record.